Long non-coding RNA from Zea mays, 459 nucleotides. RefSeq lists it as uncharacterized. The transcript has 2 exons. The record is from RefSeq and is a predicted model, not a curated record. Lineage: Eukaryota; Viridiplantae; Streptophyta; Magnoliopsida; Poales; Poaceae.
UUAAUGCAGCAACAGGGCAUGACAACAAAUUUUCCAUCGCCACCACAAUGGAGCCAGUUUGCAAACACACCAGCUCCGCCACCACAGUUCGACACCCCUCCCACACAUAUACAUGCACCUGGAGAUAGGGUUACGCCCGAAGCGGGUGGUAGUGGGUCUGAUCCCGCAGCAGGGACUGGAUUUGUUGACUCCCUCUUCGCUUCCCUCCUCCUAGUGGUGGUGGCGGCACCGAUCAAAGCUCUAACCACCCAAGUGGUGGUUAUCUCUAAACACUUGAACUCGUGCUCGUUAUGUUUUUUAACUCGUGGACGUUAUGUUUGUGUAAACACUUGAUCUUAACUCGUAUCUGAAAUAUUUGUGUAAACACUAGAUCUUAAGUUCGUGAUGUGUGAAUCAUAUCAAUGCGUUUGUGAUGUGUAUAUUCAUGUGAUAUGUUUUGUCAUAUGUUUGUGAUGUGUA